GAAACCCUAGAUUCUAAUUCUCCUCUAACCUCUCAUCUCUCGUUCAUCUCCCUCACUCUCCCGCCGCCUCAGUCACUCUUUCUCACUCCCUCGCCCAGCCGCCGCCCGUUGCCCGCCGCCCCACCAGUUCGUCCGCCCGCUGCCGGCGAAGGCGGGGACAGCAGACGCGGCACACCGCACAUGCCCUUCCUCCUCCAGUUUGCUCGCCGCCCUCUUUCCCUUCUCGGACCACUCCAGCUCCAGCUCGCCGGUCACCUUCUCGGAGCACUCCAAUUCAUCGGCGGUCGGCCUCACCCUGCCAGCCUCCAUCUCAGUUCCUCUAUGGUGGGGUCUGGGUAUGCCACAAAUUUUGGAUAGAUGCUCUUCACCAGUUAGAGGUGAAAGUGAAACCUUGUGCUUAUGCAUUAAUUUCCAUUCUGGAAGAUGAAAAUUGCUGGUCAUAUUUUGUUUAUUGACGACUAAUGGAUAUGUUCUAUCAAGUACUUGAAAAUUUUAUCUUGGGGUGCCAAAAUCAGUUAAAGCAAAAGUUGUUUCUUCCUUUUACUGACUUUUGGGUCAUGAAACUCUGAUUAUGUGCAUCUUUCUUUGUCUGUCAUGUAUUAGGAUUCUGGUCAUGAUUUACAACACAUGUAAAUUCAUUUCUUGCUUUUCACUUCUUCUUAGUUGGCAAACAUAUAUGAAGAAACAAUAUUACUUCGCCCAUAAUUAUCAUUUUGGUUGCAUUUGCGAGACCAUAUUAUUGAAAGUUGCCCCUGUUCCACAUUGUUUCAUGUUUAGCUCCAUGGAGUAGGAUUAAGUGAUCUGCACAACAAUUGAAUUUCAAAGCAAUUGUAAACCUUGCAGUUAUAGUGUUCUUGUGGAAUUUAUAAUACUAUGAAGGCCACCUGUCAAUUCUACCAGCUUUGGAGUUUUUUCCAUUCUAUUUUAGUAAUCACAGAAAUUUUUCCAUUUGAUUUGGCAGCCAUUUUGUUAGAUUAGAUUAUGGUUUUUGCUUGAGUUUGUUAGAUUCAGCCAUUUCAGAUUGGAUUUAUCGAAAUUUUAUGGUUUUUGAAUUGGAUUUGGCAGCCAUUUUGAUUUAUCAUGUUGACAGAUUGGUUUUGGCAACCAUGUAUUUAUCAUUUUGACAAAUUGGUUUUUGAUUUGGCAG
This 1147-nucleotide long non-coding RNA is filed under the name Salvia miltiorrhiza (redroot sage). Its description in RNAcentral is "long non-coding RNA (SMIL_LNC007641)". The record is from RNAcentral. Lineage: Eukaryota; Viridiplantae; Streptophyta; Magnoliopsida; Lamiales; Lamiaceae.